AUUGCGUUUAAAUGCAUAAAAUAUAUUUUGAGCAUCAAUUUUAAUGCUCCUUUGUUUUGAGCUUAAGUGGCCGCCAUUUUGAAAUCGUCCAUUUUCAAAAAAAAACACGUUAAGCUGAUUUUCUUCGUAUCUAAUAAGACGUGAAGUCGGCUGCACAUUAUUAAUGACUCACGCAUUUCGUGUCCCAACUAUGCGUGCUUUCGGAACUCAGCGGAGACACCAACCAGUAAGGCAUUAAUGUCUAGGCGCAGAAUCAGUUAUGCUGUGGCGGUCAGACGAUUCGAGUGCCGUCUCGAUUAUCUAUAGACUUCUAUCGAUACUUCGUGUCGUGUAGCGCUGCCAGAUGUUGCUUCUGCGUGAAAAUCGCGUCGCGUCGCAAUAUUGUUGCAAUUAACAUUAAAAGUAAUUAAUAGUACACAAAAAAUAUCUAAAGUAAUGCAGAAGAGUGUCAAAUCGAACGGGCUCUGGGGCAGCGAGUAAAGGCCAACUGGAAAUUGAGCUGCUGCGGCUGUUGUGUAUGUGUUGUGAGUUGAAAUAUACGCAGUAACUGGCUAAAUCCAAGAGGAAAACGCUACGCGCCUAGCUUAAAACG
Long non-coding RNA from Drosophila navojoa, 592 nucleotides. The record is from RefSeq and is a predicted model, not a curated record. Lineage: Eukaryota; Metazoa; Arthropoda; Insecta; Diptera; Drosophilidae.